RNAcentral lists this unclassified non-coding RNA (304 nucleotides) under plant metagenome. Its description in RNAcentral is "partial contains 5.8S ribosomal RNA, internal transcribed spacer 2, and large subunit ribosomal RNA". The stretch from base 1 to 105 matches the Rfam family "5.8S ribosomal RNA", at positions 50 to 154 of the family's 154-position model. The record is from RNAcentral.
GAAAUGCGAUAAGUAGUGUGAAUUGCAGAAUUCAGUGAAUCAUCGAAUCUUUGAACGCACAUUGCGCCCCUUGGUAUUCCAUGGGGCAUGCCUGUUCGAGCGUCAUUUGUACCUUCAAGCUUUGCUUGGUGUUGGGUGUUUGUCUCGCCUCUGCGUGUAGACUCGCCUCAAAACAAUUGGCAGCCGGCGUAUUGAUUUCGGAGAGCAGUACAUCUCGCGCUUUGCACUCAUAACGACGACGUCCAAAAGUACAUUUUUACACUCUUGACCUCGGAUCAGGUAGGGAUACCCGCUGAACUUAAGC